UACGGAGGGUGCAAGCGUUGUCCGGAAUUAUUGGGCGUAAAGAGCUCGUAGGCGGUUUGUCGCGUCUGCUGUGAAAACGCGAGGCUCAACCUCGCGCCUGCAGUGGGUACGGGCAGACUAGAGUGCGGUAGGGGAGAUUGGAAUUCCUGGUGUAGCGGUGGAAUGCGCAGAGUAUCAGGAGGAACACCGAUGGCGAAGGCAGAGUCUCUGGGCCGUAACUG
RNAcentral lists this ribosomal RNA (221 nucleotides) under uncultured bacterium. Its description in RNAcentral is "partial 16S ribosomal RNA". It matches the Rfam family "Bacterial small subunit ribosomal RNA", at positions 524 to 742 of the family's 1533-position model. The record is from RNAcentral.